This 724-nucleotide ribosomal RNA is filed under the name Sphingobacterium sp. Muzt-I01. RNAcentral describes it as "bacterial SSU rRNA". It matches the Rfam family "Bacterial small subunit ribosomal RNA", at positions 71 to 793 of the family's 1533-position model. The record is from RNAcentral. Lineage: Bacteria; Pseudomonadati; Bacteroidota; Sphingobacteriia; Sphingobacteriales; Sphingobacteriaceae.
AAAAGUAGCUUGCUACCUGACCUAGCGGCGGACGGGUGAGUAAUGCUUAGGAAUCUGCCUAUUAGUGGGGGACAACAUCUCGAAAGGGAUGCUAAUACCGCAUACGUCCUACGGGAGAAAGCAGGGGACCUUCGGGCCUUGCGCUAAUAGAUGAGCCUAAGUCGGAUUAGCUAGUUGGUGGGGUAAAGGCCUACCAAGGCGACGAUCUGUAGCGGGUCUGAGAGGAUGAUCCGCCACACUGGGACUGAGACACGGCCCAGACUCCUACGGGAGGCAGCAGUGGGGAAUAUUGGACAAUGGGGGGAACCCUGAUCCAGCCAUGCCGCGUGUGUGAAGAAGGCCUUUUGGUUGUAAAGCACUUUAAGCGAGGAGGAGGCUACCGAGAUUAAUACUCUUGGAUAGUGGACGUUACUCGCAGAAUAAGCACCGGCUAACUCUGUGCCAGCAGCCGCGGUAAUACAGAGGGUGCAAGCGUUAAUCGGAUUUACUGGGCGUAAAGCGCGCGUAGGUGGCCAAUUAAGUCAAAUGUGAAAUCCCCGAGCUUAACUUGGGAAUUGCAUUCGAUACUGGUUGGCUAGAGUAUGGGAGAGGAUGGUAGAAUUCCAGGUGUAGCGGUGAAAUGCGUANAGAUCUGGAGGAAUACCGAUGGCGAAGCAGCCAUCUGGCCUAAUACUGACACUGAGGUGCGAAAGCAUGGGGACAAACAGGAUUAGAUACCUGGUAU